CCCAGGGUUCUGGCUGCUGAGCGCGGCAAUAGCAACUGCUGGCUUGUGAGGGUUUGGGUUGAACUGGAAGUGGAUGAGCCCUUGUGGGAAUACAAACACAUCACCCUUGUUGAGAACCUUGGCAAACAGUUUGUUUGGGUUGGAGGUGACAAAUCCGACGUACAGGGUCCCCUCGAGCACGGUGAGGAUCUCUGUGGCACGUGGGUGGGUGUGUGGUGGAUUCUGACCUAACGGCGCAUAGUCAAUGCGGGCCAAUGAGAUGCCCAGUGUGUUGAGUCCAGGCAACUGCAUGACAUUGAUCAAAGUGACAUUGGAUCCAACCUUGCUCUUCUUGGUGUCCAUAGGCUUAUCAAGGUUGGCUGCCUUGAAGAAGUCAUCUGCGUUCACGGCCAUGGGGUCCUUGCAAACAAAUCCAUUGACCUUCACUGCAAAUAUAGAUGAAAGAAAAUUGGUAAACACAUAUUAGAAAUUAUUGGAGGCAGUAAAUAAAGAUGCUUUUUGUAUGUAGAUGUAUGUUAACAAAUGAUUUUUUUGUGAUCAUAGAUUUGGUUAAGGAACACAUAAUGAUUUGAAGCAACUGCGUUCGUACCAGGAGAGUGUAUGUCGGCAACACAAAAGUCCUGGAGCGGGCCAGGGUCGGAAGCAAUGGCUUGAGAAGUGACCAUUGCUAGAAAAGCUGCGAGCAGAAAGUAGGAGGCAGCCAUUUGAGUUUGUCUCAGCUUUUGUGUUUGAGCUCUGAAGUAGACUAUUCAGCUGCUUGUGAUGGUGUAUGUCUUGUUGAUGCUUUGGGCAUGGAGAUGGUGGGCUUAUAUAGGCUGCCACAGAAAGUGGCAACAUGAAGUUGACGACUGAACUAGUCUCGCUAUGUUGAACGUACCAAAACAGAAGAAACGGUCUCUGGCUGCUAGAAGCUGAUGAUGAAACAACGCAAUAAAAAUUUAAAGCCGGUAACUAAUUCCUUGAUGUGUAGUGGUUUAAUUAUUUGUUAAUUGUUACCACGCAAGGUACUGCUGCUGAUACGGUUCAGAAAGAAAGCGCCCUCGUCCAUUAUUUACUUAACUAACUGCCACAGAAAAGUUGAAAUAUGGAGAUGAUCAACUUUCUAAAGCAAACUGACAGGGUCACACGAUAUGAGCCCUGCACAGGCGCGUAGUUGGUGCACUAUGAUAGUUGUGAAAACUAGAAAAAUGGUAUGGUGCAUCCCGGUCAAUCUGUGCUUGCACACACACAUACGUACAGAAUUAAAGAGUCGACAGUGCAAAGGUGUUUAUUUUUAGAUUAAUUCACUUUGUAUACUCAUACAAUAAUCAGUCUCCCUAUCGUCAUUCAUGAUCACCUCAUCUUUUUUACUUUUGAGUUGAUCAGGCACGGCUUCUAUCGCUACUAGAUAAGAAACAGUUAUCUGCCUAUUCAACUCCUUGACUUGUUCAUAUCACACACAUAUCAUCACACCCGUAUAGGAAACUGCUGUUUAAUUUAGGCCAAGUAUUCGGGCGUUGCUAAGUGGUUUAUUUGCUAUGACUUAAGAACUGCAGGAUCAGGUGAUGGCUAAUAAUGCUCUAGAAGCAUAGAUCAUUAUUUAAAAUACUGAUCAGUACUAGAUAAUACAAAAAGUAUUUUGCAUUAAAUCUCAAAACCAUGAACAGAUGUCUAUCCACAUAAUAAUUAUUUCUCCGUUAAUCUUAAUAUACUGGUUUUAACUUAAAAAGAAAACAUGAUCACCAACUUUUUGUUUACUGAGUCUAUGCUUGAUACUUUAUUAGUGUAUGGUGGGACGGCUGCUGCUUAGUGAUUCAAGAUGGUAAGCAUUAAUUUUAAAAAAAUGUAGAAGUUUAGAUUAUGGAGUAAUGUUCAUAAAAGAUAUUUCCAUUAAUCACUACAGUGCUCGAGAUCCAAAUGAAAAAUGUUGAAGCUGGUAAAUGAUUCUUUUAUGCGUAGUGGUUUGUCAAUUGUUACCAUCCACGGGCAUUUUAUUGAUUCGAUUCAUAAAAAAAGUGUCAUCCAUUAUUUAGUUAAUUAACUGAUAGAAAAUUGAAAUAUGAAGAUGAUUUAGUUUUCUAAAAAAAAAUAGAGUCACACAAGAAUUAUAAGAAUGGCAUAUGAGCAGCUUGUGGACUGUGAUAGUUGCGGAAACUAGAAAAAUGGUAUGGUGCAGUGCAAAGGUCAAACUAUGCUUGCACUCACCUAAAUAAGAGUAAAAAGCGUGCAGAAAUCUAUUGUUACUUCCUAAUAUCCGCACAUUGUACCUUAUACAAUGAACAAUUUCCCUGUACUCAUGUUCACCUGAUACCAAGAAGGCAUGCAAGAACAACUUGUAGAGGGGAAGCUGCCACACACGAUUUACUUUUGAGAUCAAACCAAAUUAGCUGUGUCCUCACACGCUUUCCUUGUGAGUUAAUCAUCAGGUCAGGCUGCUAUCACUCCUAGAUAAAAGUAAAAAAGAUGAUCUGCCUACUCAGCUCCUUGACUUGUUCAAAUAUUACACAGGUAUGUGUGAACGUGCUAAUUAAUUGAGGCCAUGUAUUCGGCUGCUGCUUAGUGAUUUAACGGCCUAUGACUUAUGAACUACAGGAUUAGGUAAUGCAUAAUCAUGCUUUGAAAGCAUAACUAAUUAUUUAAAAUACUGAUAAAUACCAGACAAGAUGAAUAUAUAUAUACAGUAUAUAUAUAUAUAUAUUUAAAAUCAUGAAUAUAGUUUUAACUUAAAGAGAAUACUUGUGCAGUUUUUUUUUGUUAGUGUGUGGUAUGUGGGACGGGUUUUCUUUCUUGCUCUGCAUCUAUGCCUAGGCCCAUAAAGUGGAUUCAAUUUUUAAGGCAUAUACAGGUCCCUUUGGUAGAAGAAGCUGGAUUAAGCGUGUAGCUGGUGGACGGCGCUGCUUGGUGUAAACUAAUUACGAAGAAAUGAUGUUGCCUCUGUCAAUUUAGUUAUGUAUGCAUUCAAAAAGAAAAUCCCACGUCAUGGAGCACUUACAAACAAACCUUAUAAUAUCUAUGCUUUGUACCUAACACAGCUGGUAAAAAACUCAAGGUUAUUGUCAUCGAUGAUCACUUGGCCAUAGAAGAUCAAGGUUUCCAAUAUUUACUAGGCCAGCAUUUUGUUGGAGCAGCUACUUGCAUGACUUAAUCCAAUGCAUCCGUACGAUGAUGAGGAGGGUAGCUGUCGCACAUGCUUGCCUGUUGAAUAUUACCAGGUCAGUAACCAUGUUAUUGGCCUAGUCAACUUCUUGACUUGUUCAUACUAUACCGCCGAGUCAAUAAGCAGCUGGAUCUCUUUUCUUACAAUACUAUAUAUAGUUUAUACUACACUUGACCUGAAGAGAGAACAUGCAUGCAUGUACAUUUUUUCAAAGAUUCAAUUCUAUUGUUGCUUGAUAUUGUAACAGGGGAGGGUGUGGGAGGGUCUAUUUGUUGAUUCACAGCCUAGGUGAGGUAUGUUUGACUAGGUGCUUUGAAUAUCUUGUGUAUUUUCCGUAGCUCUAAAAAUGUACUCCUUUCGUUUUAAAAUAUAUGAAAAAUAUCUUGUCCUAAACACCGUGCAUUUAAAAACAUAGUACUACUGUUUGCACAUCAAUUGUCUAAAUUUGCUGGUCUGGAUGUUUCUUUUAAAAUAUUGGUGUUAUUAGUUAGAUAGAAAAUUCUGCUCCUUGCGCGUUGUUGCAACUUGAAACCACAUUGUCUGUAGGAAAUUAAAUGAUAGAUAAUACUGAUCUUUGUAAUUUUGGGGUUAAUUUAUAGGAACUAAAGCACAAUUCGAACUAAUGAUUUUAGAUGGUUUUAAUGGUGAUUUCUUCCUGCACUAUGUAAGAGGGUUUACGAGUACACUAUCAAAUAUUUGAAUAAUUGAAUGGCUAAUCCUCCUUCAAAUCGUCGUUUCAUUAUGUGGAGUACAGUUACAGAAGUUGUACUAAUCAUGUUGGACACACUAGCAAAUCUGGCUUGUUUUAUUUGCACUUACAACGUAACACUUACUCCCUCCGUCCCAAAAAGAAUGCAACUCUCACUUCUCGAGGAUUCAAACGGUUUUAAAUUUGACUCCGAAUAGAUUUAGUAUAAAAAUAUAUUACAUGGUUAAUCUAUUGAUAUUUAUUUUGUACCAUAAAUGUUAGUACUAUUUUGUAUAAAUUUGGUCAAAUUUAAAAUUGGUUAACUUCUCAGAAAACGAGAGUUUCAUUCUUUUUGGGACGUUCCUUUCUUUUUCUUGCACAUGAGAUUACUUGGACGCAGCAUAAUUCUCAAGUGUCCAAUGCUGCGUGUGGUCCUGAUAAUCAGACCCCAUUUGUCAAUAUCUUGAAGCAGGAGCAGUGCUAGCGGCCUGUGGAAAUGUCGACAUCGUUCAAAACGCAGCCGAUCAAAGACAAAAAGCUGUCACGUCAGCCAAGCACCGGAACCAGUUUGUUGACAAGCUCGUCUUCACAAUUCUAGACAACCUGUUUGUUCCAGUACGUGUUCCAUCUCAGUGCAAGCAUCAUCUCUCCAUCCCAACUGAGCCAAGAGAUGCUGCAAUAAUCUGCAAGGACUCCAGAGCGACCAGAGGAACGGGAGGUUUCAUUUGAGCACGGCUUCAGUUUCAUGGGCUAACAUCUUGCGUGUAACAGGCUUCAUGUUUCGUGGCUAUAUGGAUGAAGAUAAAUUGCACCGUGACACUCAAAGGACAAUAAUAAGUUUUUUGCGGGUAUAAGGACAAUAUAAUAAGUUGAGGUACAAGUCAAGACCAUCUGUGUUGAAGAAAAAUAUUGUUUACAUUAAUAUAAAACGAAGACAUAUAAUGGUACAACAGCUCGCAGGCACACAUUAACAAGAAGUCAGUAGUACCUAAUAGUCACCAUUUAUUUUCUAAAUCGUAGCAUAGAAACUUAAAACAUGUAGUUAUAUGCAAGAUGCAUAUAACGAAAACUCUCGGUACAACAAACCUAAAACAUUGAUUACUUAGUUGUGGUUAUUCUCCCAGAAUUGAGCUUGGAGCCAAUCAAUUGUCCCCUUUUGCACCUGGAAUGCCUUGGCCAAGACAUCAUCAGAAAUUGGUGGCUUUGAUCCAAAAACCGCAUUUGCGAUGGUAAUAGCACCAGGGUUCUGGCUGCUGAGCGCAGCUAUAGCAACUGCAGGCUUGUCAUAGACAGGGUUGAAUUGGAAAUGGAUGAGCCCUUGUGGGAAUACAAACACAUCACCCUUGUUGAGCACCUUUGCAAACAGUUUGUUUGGGUUGGAGGUGACAAAUCCAACAUACAGGGUCCCCUCGAGCACGGUGAGGAUCUCUGUGGCACGUGGGUGGGUGUGUGGUGGAUUUUGACCUAACGGCGCAUAGUCAAUACGGGCCAAUGAGAUGCCCAGUGUGUUGAGUCCAGGCAACUGCAUGACA
RNAcentral lists this long non-coding RNA (5356 nucleotides) under Setaria italica (foxtail millet). RNAcentral describes it as "long non-coding RNA (SITA_LNC004271)". Lineage: Eukaryota; Viridiplantae; Streptophyta; Magnoliopsida; Poales; Poaceae. The record is from RNAcentral.